RNAcentral lists this ribosomal RNA (468 nucleotides) under uncultured bacterium. RNAcentral's name for it is "partial 16S ribosomal RNA". It matches the Rfam family "Bacterial small subunit ribosomal RNA", at positions 28 to 507 of the family's 1533-position model. The record is from RNAcentral.
GACGAACGCUGGCGGCGUGCUUAACACAUGCAAGUCGAACGGAAAGGCCCUGCUUUUGUGGGGUGCUCGAGUGGCGAACGGGUGCGUACCACGUGAGUACCCUGCCCUUGCCUUUGGGAUAACUUCAGGAAACUGGGGCUAAUACCGGCUAGGAGCUCCUGCUGCAUGGUGGGGGUUGGAAAGUUUCGGCGGUUGGGGAUGGACUCGCGGCUUAUCAGCUUGUUGGUGGGGUAGUGGCUUACCAAGGCUUUGGCGGGUCGCCGGCCUGAGAGGGUGACCGGCCACAUAGGGACUGGGAUACGGCCCAGACUCCUACGGGAGGCAGCAGUGGGGAAUAUUGCACGAUGGGCGGAAGCCUGAUGCAGCAACGCCGCGUGCGGGAUGACGGCCGUCGGGUUGGAAACCGCUUUCGCCUGUGACGAAGCGUGAGUGACGGUAAUGGGUAAAGAAGCACCGGCUAACUACGUG